AGUCCUCAACCAGUACAGUUUUCAUCUCAUUUCAACCAGUACAGUUUCCAUCUCAUUUCAACCAGUACAGUUUUCAUCUCAUUUCAACCAGUACUGUUUUCAUCUCAUUUCAACCAGUACAGUUUUCAUCUCAUUUCAACCAGUACAGUUUUCAUCUCAUUUCAACCAGUACAGUUUUCAUCUCAUUUCAACCAGUACAGUUUUCAUCUCAUUUCAACCAGUACAGUUUUCAUCUCAUUUCAACCAGUACAGUUUUCAUCUCAUUUCAACCAGUACUGUUUUCAUCUCAUUUCAACCAGUACAGUUUUCAUCUCAUUUCAACCAGUACUGUUUUCAUCUCAUUUCAACCAGUACAGUUUUCAUCUCAUUUCAACCAGUACUGUUAUCAUCUCAUUUCAACCAGUACAGUUUUCAUCUCAUUUCAACCAGUACAGUUUUCAUCUCAUUUCAACCAGUACAGUUUUCAUCUCAUUUCAACCAGUACAGUUUUUAUCUCAUUUCAACCAGUACAGUUUUCAUCUCAUUUCAACCAGUACUGUUUUCAUCUCAUUUCAACCAGUACUGUUUUCAUCUCAUUUCAACCAGUACUGUUUUCAUCUCAUUUCAACCAGUACUGUUUUCAUCUCAUUUCAACCAGUACUGUUUUCAUCUCAUUUCAACCAGUACAGUUUUCAUCUCAUUUCAACCAGUACAGUUUUCAUCUCAUUUCAACCAGUACUGUUUUCAUCUCAUUUCAACCAGUACUGUUUUCAUCUCAUUUCAACCAGUACUGUUUUCAUCUCAUUUCAACCAGUACUGUUUUCAUCUCAUUUCAACCAGUACAGUUUUCAUCUCAUUUCAACCAGUACAGUUUUCAUCUCAUUUCAACCAGUACUGUUUUCAUCUCAUUUCAACCAGUACUGUUUUCAUCUCAUUUCAACCAGUACUGUUUUCAUCUCAUUUCAACCAGUACUGUUUUCAUCUCAUUUCAACCAGUACUGUUUUCAUCUCAUUUCAACCAGUACUGUUUUCAUCUCAUUUCAACCAGUACUGUUUUCAUCUCAUUUCAACCAGUACUGUUUUCAUCUCAUUUCAACCAGUACUGUUUUCAUCUCAUUUCAACCAGUACAGUUUUCAUCUCAUUUCAACCAGUACAGUUUUCAUCUAAUUUCUACCAGUACAGUUUUCAUCUCAUUUCAACCAGUACUGUUAUCAUCUCAUUUCAACCAUCUCAGUUUCCAUCUCAUUUCAACCAGUACAGUUUCCAUCUCAUUUCAACCAGUACUGUUAUCAUCUCAUUUCAACCAGUACUGUUUUCAUCUCAUUUCAACCAGUACUGUUUUCAUCUCAUUUCAACCAGUACUGUUUUCAUCUCAUUUCAACCAGUACAGUUUUCAUCUCAUUUCAACCAGUACAGUUUUCAUCUCAUUUCAACCAGUACUGUUUUCAUCUCAUUUCAACCAGUACUGUUUUCAUCUCAUUUCAACCAGUACUGUUUUCAUCUCAUUUCAACCAGUACAGUUUUCAUCUCAUUUCAACCAGUACUGUUUUCAUCUCAUUUCAACCAGUACUGUUUUCAUCUCAUUUCAACCAGUACUGUUUUCAUCUCAUUUCAACCAGUACAGUUUUCAUCUCAUUUCAACCAGUACAGUUUUCAUCUCAUUUCAACCAGUACUGUUUUCAUCUCAUUUCAACCAGUACUGUUUUCAUCUCAUUUCAACCAGUACUGUUUUCAUCUCAUUUCAACCAGUACUGUUUUCAUCUCAUUUCAACCAGUACUGUUUUCAUCUCAUUUCAACCAGUACUGUUUUCAUCUCAUUUCAACCAGUACUGUUUUCAUCUCAUUUCAACCAGUACUGUUUUCAUCUCAUUUCAACCAGUACUGUUUUCAUCUCAUUUCAACCAGUACAGUUUUCAUCUCAUUUCAACCAGUACAGUUUUCAUCUAAUUUCUACCAGUACAGUUUUCAUCUCAUUUCAACCAGUACUGUUAUCAUCUCAUUUCAACCAUCUCAGUUUCCAUCUCAUUUCAACCAGUACAGUUUCCAUCUCAUUUCAACCAGUACUGUUAUCAUCUCAUUUCAACCAUCUCAGUUUCCAUCUCAUUUCAACCAGUACAGUUUUCAUCUCAUUUCAACCAGUACUGUUAUCAUCUCAUUUCAACCAGCUCAGUUUCCAUCUCAUUUCAACCAGUACAGUUUCCAUCUCAUUUCAACCAGUACUGUUUUCAUCUCAUUUCAACCAGUACAGUUUUCAUCUCAUUUCAACCAGUACAGUUUUCAUCUCAUUUCAACCAGUACAGUUUUCAUCUCAUUUCAACCAGUACUGUUUUCAUCUCAUUUCAACCAGUACAGUUUUCAUCUCAUUUCAACCAGUACUGUUAUCAUCUCAUUUCAACCAGUACAGUUUUCAUCUAAUUUCAACCAGUACAGUUUUCAUCUCAUUUCAACCAGUACAGUUUUCAUCUCAUUUCAACCAGUACAGUUUUCAUCUCAUUUCAACCAGUACAGUUUCCAUCUCAUUUCAACCAGUACAGUUUUCAUCUCAUUUCAACCAGUACAGUUUUCAUCUCAUUUCAACCAGUACAGUUUUCAUCUCAUUUCAACCAGUACAGUUUUCAUCUCAUUUCUACCAGUACAGUUUUCAUCUCAUUUCAACCAGUACUGUUAUCAUCUCAUUUCAACCAUCUCAGUUUCCAUCUCAUUUCAACCAGUACAGUUUCCAUCUCAUUUCAACCAGUACUGUUAUCAUCUCAUUUCAACCAUCUCAGUUUCCAUCUCAUUUCAACCAGUACAGUUUCCAUCUCAUUUCAACCAGUACUGUUUUCAUCUCAUUUCAACCAGUACAGUUUUCAUCUAAUUUCAACCAAUACAGUUUUCAUCUCAUUUCAACCAGUACUGUUUUCAUCUCAUUUCAACCAGUACAGGUUUCAUCUCAUUUCAACCAGUACUGUUAUCAUCUCAUUUCAACCAAUACAGUUUUCAUCUCAUUUCAACCAAUACAGUUUUCAUCUCAUUUCAACCAGUACUGUUUUCAUCUCAUUUCAACCAGUACAGGUUUCAUCUCAUUUCAACCAGUACUGUUAUCAUCUCAUUUCAACCAAUACAGUUUUCAUCUCAUUUCAACCAGUACUGUUUUCAUCUCAUUUCAACCAGUACAGUUUCCAUCUCAUUUCAACCAGUACUGUUUUCAUCUCAUUUCAACCAGUACAGUUUUCAUCUCAUUUCAACCAGUACAGUUUUCAUCUCAUUUCAACCAGUACAGUUUUCAUCUCAUUUCAACCAGUACUGUUUUCAUCUCAUUUCAACCAGUACAGUUUUCAUCUCAUUUCAACCAGUACUGUUAUCAUCUCAUUUCAACCAGUACAGUUUUCAUCUAA
Long non-coding RNA from Oncorhynchus mykiss (rainbow trout), 3357 nucleotides. The record is from Ensembl. Lineage: Eukaryota; Metazoa; Chordata; Actinopteri; Salmoniformes; Salmonidae.